CCAAGGCCUCCGCCGUCUCCAUUAUGCCAGAGAGAGAGGCAGUAAUGUCUUCAAUCAGAUUCCUAUGGAUCCUAAUGGUGAAGCUUCUCCGCUUCAGAAGUCAACAAAAUCCCUUGAACCAUAGACUUCAAAGUGAAAAAGAGGUUCACUGUUGCUCGCCACGACGAUACCGAACACCACCGGCAACAGCGCGAGGUAAACCUCACCAGUCUCCUUCUUGCAUGUGAUCAAAAACACAAAAAUUGUGGUGAAGAACGACGUCGUUGCGCCGAUGGCCUAGUUGAAGGAGACGAGGAGGUAGCAGAGGGAGGUGUUGCCGCAGAUGAUGGAGAAGUAGAAGAUUGCGCUGAGAGCGAAGAUCUUGAGGAACUGCUUCUUGGAGUGGAUGUGCUGGAGCAGAACGAGUUCAAGGAGGUUGAUGGAGGCGUAGGAAUAAGCGGUGCAUGAUAGCAUGUGGAGCAUUGUAAGGAAGAUAGGGAAGCGGUAGCCGUAGAAGCUGAGGAGGUAUCAGAGAGAAGAACCAAAAAUCCAAGCUUGGGUAAACCUCGAAAAUGCUAAAGCAGAGGCCAGGUCAAGAAAGCUUAAGGUAUCAGAGAGAAGAAGCAAAAAUCCAAGCUUGGGUAAACCUCGAAAAUGCUAAAGCAGAGGUCAGGUCAAAAAAGCUUGAGGUAUUU
This is a long non-coding RNA of Glycine soja, 674 nucleotides long. RefSeq lists it as uncharacterized. The transcript is spliced from 3 exons. Lineage: Eukaryota; Viridiplantae; Streptophyta; Magnoliopsida; Fabales; Fabaceae. The record is from RefSeq and is a predicted model, not a curated record.